AUUGAACGCUGGCGGCAUGCCUUACACAUGCAAGUCGAACGGUAACGCGGGGCAACCUGGCGACGAGUGGCGAACGGGUGAGUAAAGCAUCGGAACGUGCCCAGUAGUGGGGAUAGCCCGGCGAAAGCCGGAUUAAUACCGCAUACGACCUAAGGGUGAAAGGGGGGGAUCGCAAGACCUCUCGCUAUUGGAGCGGCCGAUGUCAGAUUAGCUAGUUGGUGGGGUAAAAGCUUACCAAGGCGACGAUCUGUAGCUGGUCUGAGAGGACGACCAGCCACACUGGGACUAGGACACGGCGCAGACGCCUACGGGAGGCAGCAGGGGGGAAUUUUGGGCAAUGGACGAAAGUCUGAUCCAACCAUGCCGCGUGCGGGAAGAAGGCCUUCGGGUUGUAAACCGCUUUUGUCAGGGAAGAAAUCCUUUGAGCUAAUACCUCGGGGGGAUGACGGUACCUGAAGAAUAAGCACCGGCUAACUACGUGCCAGCCGCCGCGGUAA
RNAcentral lists this ribosomal RNA (497 nucleotides) under uncultured bacterium. RNAcentral's name for it is "partial 16S ribosomal RNA". It matches the Rfam family "Bacterial small subunit ribosomal RNA", at positions 29 to 523 of the family's 1533-position model. The record is from RNAcentral.